GAAAAAACGAAGAAGAGGAUAAGUACUCUUAAGCUGAAGAAUUUCCAGAGAAUCGGUAUUGCUGGGAACCGAUAAUUCUUUCUUAAGACGAACUCGCCUCCGAGUAUCAGCUUGAAACAGUAGGAUUAGAGCUGGUCGGGUGUCAUUCACAAUCGCACUCGUUAUUAAAACAAGAAUGCAAGCCUGCAUUCCUGAGGUAAUCAUCAUGAUUACGAAGAAGGGUGGUACCGUGAAAUGACAAAGUCUUUUCACCCCUUUG
RNAcentral lists this non-coding RNA (259 nucleotides) under Priestia koreensis. RNAcentral's name for it is "Bacillus koreensis T-box sequence". It matches the Rfam family "T-box leader". Rfam says of the family: Uncharged tRNA acts as the effector for transcription antitermination of genes in the T-box leader family. T-boxes are found upstream of many aminoacyl-tRNA synthetase genes and some amino acid biosynthetic genes usually in Gram-positive bacteria. Lineage: Bacteria; Bacillati; Bacillota; Bacilli; Caryophanales; Bacillaceae. The record is from RNAcentral.